RNAcentral lists this transfer RNA (74 nucleotides) under Deltaproteobacteria bacterium. RNAcentral's name for it is "tRNA-Glu". It matches the Rfam family "tRNA". Rfam says of the family: Transfer RNA (tRNA) molecules are approximately 80 nucleotides in length. Their secondary structure includes four short double-helical elements and three loops (D, anti-codon, and T loops). Lineage: Bacteria; Pseudomonadati; Myxococcota; Myxococcia. The record is from RNAcentral. RNAcentral also lists the same sequence under 1 other name.
GUCCGUGUCGUAUAGCAGCAGUAUGCCGGUCUCUCCAACCGGCGGCGCGGGUGCGAUUCCCGCCACGGAUACCA